CUGGCUCAGGAUGAACGCUAGCUACAGGCUUAACACAUGCAAGUCGCGGGGCAGCAUGGUCUUAGCUUGCUAAGACUGAUGGCGACCGGCGCACGGGUGAGUAACGCGUAUCCAACCUUCCCCUUAGUAGGGCAUAGCCCGGCGAAAGUCGGAUUAAUACCCUAUGUUCUUCGUAGAUGGCAUCUGAGACGAAGCAAAGGUUAGCGCUAAGGGAUGGGGAUGCGUCUGAUUAGGCAGUCGGCGGGGUAACGGCCCACCGAGCCAUCGAUCAGUAGGGGUUCUGAGAGGAAGGUCCCCCACAUUGGAACUGAGACACGGUCCAAACUCCUACGGGAGGCAGCAGUGAGGAAUAUUGGUCAAUGGGCGAGAGCCUGAACCAGCCAAGUAGCGUGCCAGGACGACGGCCCUACGGGUUGUAAACUGCUUUUAUGCGGGGAUAAAGUGCCCUACGUGUAGGGUAUUGCAGGUACCGCAUGAAUAAGGACCGGCUAAUUCCGUGCCAGCAGCUGC
This 510-nucleotide ribosomal RNA is filed under the name uncultured bacterium. RNAcentral describes it as "bacterial SSU rRNA". It matches the Rfam family "Bacterial small subunit ribosomal RNA", at positions 19 to 518 of the family's 1533-position model. The record is from RNAcentral.